This 396-nucleotide ribosomal RNA is filed under the name uncultured bacterium. RNAcentral describes it as "bacterial SSU rRNA". It matches the Rfam family "Bacterial small subunit ribosomal RNA", at positions 28 to 417 of the family's 1533-position model. The record is from RNAcentral.
GACGAACGCUGGCGGCGCGCUUAACACAUGCAAGUCGAGCGAGAACCAGCCCUUCGGGGCUGGGGAAAGCGGCGAACGGGUGAGUAACACGUGGGUAAUCUGCCCUCGGCACCGGAAUAGCCCGGGGAAACCCGGAUUAAUGCCGGAUGGCCUCUCGAGCUCUCGAGCUCAUGAGAAAAGGUAGCUUCGGCCUCCGGCCGAGGAUGAGCCCGCGGUCGAUUAGCUUGUUGGUGAGGUAAUGGCUCACCAAGGCGACGAUCGAUAGCUGGUCUGAGAGGACGAUCAGCCACACUGGGACUGAGACACGGCCCAGACUCCUACGGGAGGCAGCAGUGGGGAAUCUUGCGCAAUGGGCGAAAGCCUGACGCAGCGACGCCGUGUGCGGGAAGAAGGCCU